RNAcentral lists this ribosomal RNA (469 nucleotides) under uncultured bacterium. RNAcentral's name for it is "partial 16S ribosomal RNA". It matches the Rfam family "Bacterial small subunit ribosomal RNA", at positions 28 to 507 of the family's 1533-position model. The record is from RNAcentral.
GACGAACGCUGGCGGCGUGCUUAACACAUGCAAGUCGAACGGAAAGGCCCUGCUUUUGUGGGGUGCUCGAGUGGCGAACGGGUGAGUAACACGUGAGUAACCUGCCCUUGACUUUGGGAUAACUUCAGGAAACUGGGGCUAAUACCGGAUAGGAGCUCCUGCUGCAUGGUGGGGGUUGGAAAGUUUCGGCGGUUGGGGGAUGGACUCGCGGCUUAUCAGCUUGUUGGUGGGGUAGUGGCUUACCAAGGCUUUGACGGGUAGCCGGCCUGAGAGGGUGACCGGCCACAUUGGGACUGAGAUACGGCCCAGACUCCUACGGGAGGCAGCAGUGGGGAAUAUUGCACAAUGGGCGGAAGCCUGAUGCAGCAACGCCGCGUGCGGGAUGACGGCCUUCGGGUUGUAAACCGCUUUCGCCUGUGACGAAGCGUGAGUGACGGUAAUGGGUAAAGAAGCACCGGCUAACUACGUG